AGUGAACGCUGGCGGUAGGCCUAACACAUGCAAGUCGAACGGCAGCACAGUAAGAGCUUGCUCUUACGGGUGGCGAGUGGCGGACGGGUGAGGAAUACAUCGGAAUCUACUUUUUCGUGGGGGAUAACGUAGGGAAACUUACGCUAAUACCGCAUACGACCUACGGGUGAAAGCAGGGGAUCUUCGUACCUUGCGCGACUGAAUGAGCCGAUGUCGGAUUAGCUAGUUGGCGGGGUAAAGGCCCACCAAGGCGACGAUCCGUAGCUGGUCUGAGAGGAUGAUCAGCCACACUGGAACUGAGACACGGUCCAGACUCCUACGGGAGGCAGCAGUGGGGAAUAUUGGACAAUGGGCGCAAGCCUGAUCCAGCCAUACCGCGUGGGUGAAGAAGGCCUUCGGGUUGUAAAGCCCUUUUGUUGGGAAAGAAAAGCAGCAGGUUAAUACCCCGCUGUUCUGACGGUACCCAAAGAAUAAGCACCGGCUAACUUCGUG
This 492-nucleotide ribosomal RNA is filed under the name uncultured bacterium. Its description in RNAcentral is "partial 16S ribosomal RNA". It matches the Rfam family "Bacterial small subunit ribosomal RNA", at positions 29 to 507 of the family's 1533-position model. The record is from RNAcentral.